RNAcentral lists this ribosomal RNA (450 nucleotides) under uncultured bacterium. RNAcentral's name for it is "partial 16S ribosomal RNA". It matches the Rfam family "Bacterial small subunit ribosomal RNA", at positions 28 to 506 of the family's 1533-position model. The record is from RNAcentral.
GAUGAACGCUGGCGGCGUGCCUAACACAUGCAAGUCGAGCGGCAGCGCGGGGUGCUUGCACCCUGUCGGCGAGCGGCGGACGGCUGAGUAACGCGUGGGAACGUGCCCCAAAGUGAGGAAUAACUGCCCGAAAGGGUAGCUAAUACCGCAUAUUAUCUUCGGAUCAAAGGAUUUAUCCGCUUUGGGAGCGGCUCGCGUCGGAUUAGGUAGUUGGUGAGGUAAUGGCUCACCAAGCCGACGAUCCGUAGCUGGUCUGAGAGGAUGACCAGCCAGACUGGAACUGAGACACGGUCCAGACUCCUACGGGAGGCAGCAGUGAGGAAUCUUCCACAAUGGGCGAAAGCCUGAUGGAGCAACGCCGCGUGCAGGACGAAGGCCUUCGGGUUGUAAACUGCUUUUAUAAGUGAGGAAUAUGACGGUAACUUAUGAAUAAGGAUCGGCUAACUACGU